Molecule: ribosomal RNA, 454 nt
Filed under: uncultured Rikenellaceae bacterium
Lineage: Bacteria; Pseudomonadati; Bacteroidota; Bacteroidia; Bacteroidales; Rikenellaceae
Description: partial 16S ribosomal RNA
Rfam family: Bacterial small subunit ribosomal RNA
Source: RNAcentral
ACGGGAGGCAGCAGUGAGGAAUAUUGGUCAAUGGUCGGAAGACUGAACCAGCCAUGCCGCGUGCAGGAAUAAGGCCCUAUGGGUCGUAAACUGCUUUUGUGGUGGAGCAAUAAGGCGUACGUGUACGUCGAUGAGAGUACAUCACGAAUAAGCAUCGGCUAACUCCGUGCCAGCAGCCGCGGUAAUACGGAGGAUGCAAGCGUUAUCCGGAUUUAUUGGGUUUAAAGGGUGCGUAGGCUGUGCAUCAAGUCAGCGGUGAAAGCCCGGGGCCUAACUCCGGAACUGCCGUUGAUACUGUUGUGCUAGAAUACGGAUGCCGUGGGAGGAAUGAGUAGUGUAGCGGUGAAAUGCAUAGAUAUUACUCAGAACACCGAUUGCGAAGGCAUCUCACGAAUCCGUUAUUGACGCUGAGGCACGAAAGCGUGGGGAUCAAACAGGAUUAGAUACCCUGGUA